RNAcentral lists this transfer RNA (83 nucleotides) under Candidatus Parcubacteria bacterium. RNAcentral describes it as "tRNA-Tyr". It matches the Rfam family "tRNA". Rfam says of the family: Transfer RNA (tRNA) molecules are approximately 80 nucleotides in length. The record is from RNAcentral. Lineage: Bacteria; Candidatus Parcubacteria.
GCGCCGAUCGUAUAGCGGCAAUUACACCGCGCUGUAAACGCGGCGACCAUUGGUCUACGGGGGUUCGAGUCCCUCUCGGCGCA